This 243-nucleotide ribosomal RNA is filed under the name uncultured Actinomycetales bacterium. RNAcentral's name for it is "partial 16S ribosomal RNA". It matches the Rfam family "Bacterial small subunit ribosomal RNA", at positions 88 to 334 of the family's 1533-position model. The record is from RNAcentral. Lineage: Bacteria; Bacillati; Actinomycetota; Actinomycetes; Actinomycetales.
UGCUCGAGUGGCGAACGGGUGAGUAACACGUGGGUGAUCUGCCCUGCACUUCGGGAUAAGCUUGGGAAACUGGGUCUAAUACCGGAUAGGACCAUCGUUUAGUGUCGGUGGUGGAAAGUUUUUUCGGUGUGGGAUGAGCUCGCGGCCUAUCAGCUUGUUGGUGGGGUAAUGGCCUACCAAGGCGUCGACGGGUAGCCGGCCUGAGAGGGUGUACGGCCACAUUGGGACUGAGAUACGGCCCAU